CUUUGCUUUAGAAAUCAGUCUGGAAAAACAUGAUUUAACUGCUUUCAUGUAUCCUGGUCCAGCUGUCCUUGGCUCUUACGGAGAGACAAAUAUACGGACCCAGAGGUUGUCUUACAGAGCUUGGCCCCUACAGAAGAGACUACUUCAUGUUAUGAUGUAAAGCUUUCAUGACAUCAAGUGACUACUCACCUGAGGAAAGUGCAAAAGAAUCUUUACAAAAUUAAUGAAGAGCCAAAUGAAGAAGAACAUCAAUUGGAGAGUGGCAGAAUAGCUGUAUGAUUUUUUAUUCUCUUCUCAAGGCUGUUUUUCCAAGACACAGUUACAAGCAAUGCAUAUUUUAUUAAGCUACUCAUAAAGGACUUUUAUUAGUGUUGUCUAUUGUUUGGAGUUUUGUGAUUAUAACAAAAUUAUAUAUUCUCGUAACAGUUUUAUAUAUUUCUGAAUAUUCACUCGUAAGGCCUUUAGAAUGCUUUCUUUCCCUCAUACAUACUGCUUUCAGAAAUAAACCAGCUUGAGCAAAUAUAAAUAUUUUGUAA
This 536-nucleotide long non-coding RNA is filed under the name Cyanistes caeruleus (blue tit). RNAcentral's name for it is "lncRNA (ENSCCEG00000002501.1)". The record is from RNAcentral. Lineage: Eukaryota; Metazoa; Chordata; Aves; Passeriformes; Paridae.